Molecule: ribosomal RNA, 1301 nt
Filed under: uncultured bacterium
Lineage: Bacteria
Description: partial 16S ribosomal RNA
Rfam family: Bacterial small subunit ribosomal RNA
Source: RNAcentral
GUCUACGGACCAAAGUGUGGGACCUUCGGGCCACAUGCUAUCGGAUGCGCCUACGUGGGAUUAGCUAGUUGGUGAGGUAAUGGCUCACCAAGGCGACGAUCCCUAGCUGGUUUGAGAGGAUGAUCAGCCACACUGGAACUGAGACACGGUCCAGACUCCUACGGGAGGCAGCAGUGGGGAAUAUUGGACAAUGGGCGCAAGCCUGAUCCAGCCAUGCCGCGUGUGUGAAGAAGGCCUUCGGGUUGUAAAGCACUUUCAGUUGGGAGGAAGCGUUGUGUGUUAAUAGUACACAGCGUUGACGUUACCAACAGAAGAAGCACCGGCUAACUCUGUGCCAGCAGCCGCGGUAAUACAGAGGGUGCAAGCGUUAAUCGGAAUUACUGGGCGUAAAGCGCACGUAGGCGGUUUUUUAAGUCAGAUGUGAAAGCCCCGGGCUCAACCUGGGAAUUGCAUUUGAAACUGGAAAACUAGAGUGUGUGAGAGGGGGGUAGAAUUCCAAGUGUAGCGGUGAAAUGCGUAGAGAUUUGGAGGAAUACCAGUGGCGAAGGCGGCCCCCUGGCNCUAAUAACUGACGCUGAGGUACGAAAGCAUGGGGAGCAAACAGGAUAUAGGUACCCUGGUAGUCCAUGCCGUAAACGAUGUCUACUAGCCGUUNGGGACCUUUGAGGCUUUAGUGGCGCAGCUAACGCGANUAAGUAGACCGCCUGGGGAGUACGGUCGCAAGACUAAAACUCAAAUGAAUUGACGGGGGCCCGCACAAGCGGUGGAGCAUGUGGUUUAAUUCGAUGCAACGCGAAGAACCUUACCUGGCNCUUGACANNUACUAGAANACUUUCCAGAGAUGNGAUUGGUGCCUUCGGGAANUCUAGAUACAGGUGCUGCAUGGCUGUCGUCAGCUCGUGUCGUGGGAUGUUGGGUUAAGUCCCGCAACGAGCGCAACCCUUUUCCUUACUUGCCAGCANNUNUUCGGAUGGGAACUCUAAGGAUACUGCCAGUGACAAACUGGAGGAAGGCGGGGACGACGUCAAGUCAUCAUGGCCCUUACGNGCCAGGGCUACACACGUGCUACAAUGGUCGGUACAAAGGGUUUGCUACCCAGCGANUGUGAAUGCUAAUCUCAAAAAAGCCCGAUCCGUAGUUCCGGAUUGGAGUCUGCAACUCGACUCCAUGAAGUCCGGAAUCGCUAGUAAAUCGCGGGAUCCAGAAUGCCCGCGGUGGAAUACGUUUCCCGGGCCUUGUACACACCGCCCGUCACACCAUGGGAGUGGGUUGCAAAAGAAGUAGGUAGCUUAACCUUCGGG